GAUGAACGCUGGCGGCGUGCCUAAUACAUGCAAGUCGAGCGAACAGAUGAGGAGCUUGCUCCUCUGACGUUAGCGGCGGACGGGUGAGUAACACGUGGAUAACCUACCUAUAAGACUGGGAUAACUUCGGGAAACCGGAGCUAAUACCGGGUAAUAUAUUGAACCGCAUGGUUCAAUAGUGAAAGACGGUUUUGCUGUCACUUAUAGAUGGAUCCGCGCCGCAUUAGCUAGUUGGUAAGGUAACGGCUUACCAAGGCAACGAUGCGUAGCCGACCUGAGAGGGUGAUCGGCCACACUGGAACUGAGACACGGUCCAGACUCCUACGGGAGGCAGCAGUAGGGAAUCUUCCGCAAUGGGCGGAAGCCUGACGGAGCAACGCCGCGUGAGUGAUGAAGGUCUUCGGAUCGUAAAACUCUGUUAUUAGGGAAGAACAAAUGUGUAAGUAACUAUGCACGUCUUGACGGUACCUAAUCAGAAAGCCACGGCUAACUACGUG
This 497-nucleotide ribosomal RNA is filed under the name uncultured bacterium. Its description in RNAcentral is "partial 16S ribosomal RNA". It matches the Rfam family "Bacterial small subunit ribosomal RNA", at positions 28 to 507 of the family's 1533-position model. The record is from RNAcentral.